AGUAAAGGUGGCUGACUACAAGCAAGGAAGAGAGCCCUAACCAGAAACCAAAUGGGCCACAACCUUGAUCUUGGACUUUAAACCUUUAGAACUGUGAGAAAAUAAACUUCUGUUGUGUGAGCCACCCAGUUUGUGAUUAUCGCAGCCUGAGCCAUCAAAGACAUAUACAUAUUCAUUUUUGUAAUAUCUUAGUAGGAAGAAACUAAGGAUGUAUUAAAAAUGCCAAAUGGCUUCAAAAUAUACAAAUUUCAAAGAAUGAAAGUAUGCGGUCGCUGAGCAUUUUAAAUCUUUUCAAUAAUUUUUCUAAUGUUGCUUCUUUAAAAAACUGUUUUACAUUUUUUUAACCCAGUAUAACACUCUGUUGCAAUAUAACAUGUGCUGAAUGUUAAAGGUUACCUGUAUACCUUACAUCUUAUGUAAAUAAUUUGCAAUUUUCAGGUAUACCAUCUGGAAAAAGAAAUCUGCAGAACUUUAGAAUGAUUAUUAUGGGGUUUUGCCAAAAUACUACAAAAUGUUUGCUACUGUAGGACACUGCCUUUCUGUUACAAUUAAGUAAACAUGUGAGGACAUGGAACAAGAUUCUGCCCUGGCAUCCAUGUUUGGGAUAAAAUAAAAGUGAAAGAUAAAGUGCAUUUUAUCUCAAGGAAAAGUGGUGAUCUCCUGCACUUGGGCCCUUCAGAAAAAUAAUGAUAUUGGUUGGAGAUGUAUCAUCAAGUUAUUCUCUUUCCCACAGAUUGUACUUAGUGACCAUUAGAAAAAGCAAGCUUACAUAAAUCAGUAAAAACAUCACCUUGGUGUUGUGCAUUUUAAUUGGAUAAAUUUUCUAUAGCAAACAUAGGCUGCCUAUUGAGAAAUAGAGCUUCAAUGUCAAUGAUAGUGUUUUAAGAUUAUAUGAUUUUAAAAGUGUUUUUUCUGCUAGAAUAAUCCAGAGCAUUUGCUAUAAAUUUAAUCCAUUGGUCUGAAAUGAACAGACAAGUCUCAUCAUUUUUUUUUUGUUGUUGUUUUAAGUGAGGUUGCAAUAAAAAAGAAAUUACAGAUGCAUUCCUCUUCAAUAUGGAACUAACUAAAACCCAAUUUUUGCAAGUUAAAAAUCUAGAAUACAAAUAUUAAAGAAAAAUAUAAGUAGAAAGUGAAAGUAACAAGAAAACAUAAAAUAUUGGUAAAGAUGAAUACAAUGAAGGAAUCCUUUUUGGAUUGGUUUUCCUCUAUUUUAGCACUGUUUUGCUAAAUGAUUCCAGCAGGUGCUUUUUAAAUAAUGCAGUCCAAUUGUGCACAGUACUAAUCACUGAGAUACUGUGAUAAACAGGCAUAUUUCUUACUCUCAUGUAGUUCAUAUUCGUCACAAAAUAUUCAUAAGAAUAUUAUUGCUAUUCUUUCCUAGUGCCUCUCACCUUAUUGUGAAUUAGCAUCCUCAUAUUAGAGAAAAUAUUUGGCCUUUGGUUUUGUAGGGUUGGCUUAUUUCGCUUAGCAUGAUAUACUCCAACUCCAACCAUUUACUGGCAAAUGCCAUAACUUCACUCUUCUUUAAAGCUGAGUAAUAUUCCAAUUGAAUAUAUAAACCACAUUUUCUUUAUCCCUUUAUUUAUUGAAGGACAUCUAGAUUGGGUCCAUUAUAUAGCUAUUGUGAAUUGAGCUGCUAUAAACAUUGAUGUGGCUGUAUCACUAUAUUAUGCUGAUUUUAAGUCCUUUGGGUAUAAGCCUGUUAGAGUCUGUAAACAAGUCAGGAUGGCACCUGGCAUUUUGCCAGAGAAAUGUUAGAGUCUGAAAACAAGUCUGGAUGGCGCCUGGCAAAAUGCCAGAGGGAGUGGUUUGUGAAGUAAUACCAUCUAGCCAUUAAGUGUGGAGAUUCCUUAUUGGUUGACUGAUGUAUCUAGUUUAUGUUAAUUAGAUAAGCUGUGUGGAAUGUAUAAAUACUGCUCCUGUCCUGCAAUAAACAGCUUCCACUCCUGCUGUAUCAACGUACACAAGUUGUUCGUCCCCC
This 1981-nucleotide long non-coding RNA is filed under the name Marmota monax (woodchuck). Lineage: Eukaryota; Metazoa; Chordata; Mammalia; Rodentia; Sciuridae. The record is from RNAcentral.